RNAcentral lists this ribosomal RNA (465 nucleotides) under uncultured Achromobacter sp. Its description in RNAcentral is "bacterial SSU rRNA". It matches the Rfam family "Bacterial small subunit ribosomal RNA", at positions 338 to 795 of the family's 1533-position model. The record is from RNAcentral. Lineage: Bacteria; Pseudomonadati; Pseudomonadota; Betaproteobacteria; Burkholderiales; Alcaligenaceae.
CCUACGGGAGGCAGCAGUGGGGAAUUUUGGACAAUGGGGGAAACCCUGAUCCAGCCAUCCCGCGUGUGCGAUGAAGGCCUUCGGGUUGUAAAGCACUUUUGGCAGGAAAGAAACGUCAUGGGUUAAUACCCCGUGAAACUGACGGUACCUGCAGAAUAAGCACCGGCUAACUACGUGCCAGCAGCCGCGGUAAUACGUAGGGUGCAAGCGUUAAUCGGAAUUACUGGGCGUAAAGCGUGCGCAGGCGGUUCGGAAAGAAAGAUGUGAAAUCCCAGAGCUUAACUUUGGAACUGCAUUUUUAACUACCGGGCUAGAGUGUGUCAGAGGGAGGUGGAAUUCCGCGUGUAGCAGUGAAAUGCGUAGAUAUGCGGAGGAACACCGAUGGCGAAGGCAGCCUCCUGGGAUAACACUGACGCUCAUGCACGAAAGCGUGGGGAGCAAACAGGAUUAGAUACCCGGGUAGUC